This 252-nucleotide ribosomal RNA is filed under the name uncultured bacterium. RNAcentral describes it as "partial 16S ribosomal RNA". It matches the Rfam family "Bacterial small subunit ribosomal RNA", at positions 15 to 263 of the family's 1533-position model. The record is from RNAcentral.
GAUCAUGGCUCAGGAUGAACGCUAGCUACAGGCUUAACACAUGCAAGUCGAGGGGCAUCAGGGUGUAGCAAUACACCGCUGGCGACCGGCGCACGGGUGAGUAACACGUAUCCAACCUGCCCUUUACUCGGGGAUAGCCUUUCGAAAGAAAGAUUAAUACCCGAUGGCAUAACAUGACCUCCUGGUUUUGUUAUUAAAGAAUUUCGGUAGAGGAUGGGGAUGCGUUCCAUUAGAUAGUAGGCGGGGUAACGG